UACGAAGGGGGCUAGCGUUGCUCGGAAUCACUGGGCGUAAAGCGCGCGUAGGCGGAUCGUUAAGUCGGGGGUGAAAUCCUGGAGCUCAACUCCAGAACUGCCUUUGAUACUGGCGAUCUUGAGUCCGGGAGAGGUGAGUGGAACUCCGAGUGUAGAGGUGAAAUUCGUAGAUAUUCGGAGGAACACCAGUGGCGAAGGCGGCUCACUGGUCCAUUACUGACGCUGAGGUGCGAAAGCGUGGGGAGCAAACAGG
Molecule: ribosomal RNA, 253 nt
Filed under: uncultured bacterium
Lineage: Bacteria
Description: partial 16S ribosomal RNA
Rfam family: Bacterial small subunit ribosomal RNA
Source: RNAcentral